Molecule: ribosomal RNA, 469 nt
Filed under: uncultured soil bacterium
Lineage: Bacteria
Description: bacterial SSU rRNA
Rfam family: Bacterial small subunit ribosomal RNA
Source: RNAcentral
AGAUUGAACGCUGGCGGCAUGCCUUACACAUGCAAGUCGAACGGUAGAGUAGCAAUACUUGAGAGUGGCGAACGGGUGAGUAAUAUAUCGGAACGUGCCCAGUCGUGGGGGAUAACGUAGAGAAAUUUACGCUAAUACCGCAUACGAUCUAAGGAUGAAAGCGGGGGACCGUAAGGCCUCGCGCGAUUGGAGCGGCUGAUAUCAGAUUAGGUUGUUGGUGAGGUAAAAGCUCACCAAGCCGACGAUCUGUAGCUGGUUUGAGAGAACGACCAGCCACACUGGGACUGAGACACGGCCCAGACUCCUACGGGAGGCAGCAGGUCGGGGAAUUUUGGACAAGUGGGCGAAAGCCUGAUCCAGCAAUGCCGCGUGCAGGAAGAAGGCCUUGGGUUGUAACUGCUUUGUAACGGAACGAAGUCUGUCUUAAUACAGUGGCUAAGUGACGAACGUAAGAAUAAGCACCGCUAAC